This 254-nucleotide ribosomal RNA is filed under the name uncultured bacterium. RNAcentral's name for it is "partial 16S ribosomal RNA". It matches the Rfam family "Bacterial small subunit ribosomal RNA", at positions 524 to 776 of the family's 1533-position model. The record is from RNAcentral.
UACGUAGGGGCCAAGCGUUGUCCGGAUUUAUUGGGCGUAAAGAGCUCGUAGGCGGUUCGGCAAGUCAGCUGUGAAAUCUCCACGCUCAACGUGGAGGGGUCAGCUGAUACUGCUGUGACUCGAGUCCGGUAGGGGAGUGUGGAAUUCCCGGUGUAGCGGUGAAAUGCGCAGAUAUCGGGAGGAACACCAGUGGCGAAGGCGGCAUCCUGGCCAUGUCCUGACGCUCAGGGGCGAAAGCGUGGGGAGCAAACCGG